CAUGCAAGUCGAGGGGCAUCGGGACGUAGCAAUACGUUGCCGGCGACCGGCGGAUGGGUGAGUAACGCGUAUGCAACCUACCCGUAGCAGGGGGAUAGCCCGUUGAAAGACGGAUUAAUACCCCGUAACACAGGGGCUCCGCAUGGAGAUUAUUGUUAAAGGGUCAUUUCUUUUAGAGGUGGUCCGGCUGCGGAUGGGCAUGCGUUCCAUUAGGUAGUUGGUGUAGGUAACGGCUCACCAAGGCGACGAUGGGUAGCCGGCCUGAGAGGGUGUACGGCCACACUGGGACUGAGACACGGCCCAGACUCCUACGGGAGGCAGCAGUAGGGAAUAUUGCGCAAUGGACGGAAGUCUGACGCAGCGACGCCGCGUGAGCGAUGAAGGCCUUCGGGUCGUAAAGCUCUGUCCUUGGGGAAGAAGGUCUUCGGACUUGACGGUACCCAAGAAGAAAGCCCCGGCUAACUACGUGCCAGCAGCCGCGGUAAUACGUAGGGGGCGAGCGUUGUCCGGAAUUACUGGGCGUAAAGGGUGCGUAGGCGGCCCUUUAAGUCAGAUGUGAAAGGCCACGGCUUAACCGUGGGAUUGCAUUUGAAACUGGAGGGCUUGAGUGUCGGAGAGGGUAGUGGAAUUCCCAGUGUAGCGGUGAAAUGCGUAGAUAUUGGGAGGAACACCAGUGGCGAAGGCGACUACCUGGACGAUAACUGACGCUGAGGCACGAAAGCUAGGGGAGCAAACAGGAUUAGAUACCCUGGUAGUCCUAGCCGUAAACGAUGGGUACUAGGUGUAGGUGGUUUCGAUACCAUCUGUGCCGGAGUUAACGCAAUAAGUACCCCGCCUGGGGAGUACGUGCGCAAGCAUGAAACUCAAAAGAAUUGACGGGGGCCCGCACAAGCGGUGGAGCAUGUGGUUUAAUUCGAAGCAACGCGAAGAACCUUACCAGGUCUUGACAUCACCUAGCAAGCCAUGGAAACAUGGCCCUCCUUCGGGACUGGGUGACAGGUGGUGCAUGGUUGUCGUCAGCUCGUGUCGUGAGAUGUUGGGUUAAGUCCCGCAACGAGCGCAACCCUUGCCUUUAGUUGCCAGCAUUAAGUUGGGGACUCUAAAUGGACUGCCGGCGACAAGUCGGAGGAAGGUGGGGAUGACGUCAAAUCAUCAUGCCCCUUAUGAUCUGGGCUACACACGUGCUACAAUGGGUGGUACAGAGGGAAGCGAAGCUGUGAGGCGGAGCGAAUCCCAGAAAGCCACUCUCAGUUCGGAUUGCAGGCUGCAACUCGCCUGCAUGAAGUCGGAAUCGCUGUAAUCGC
This 1304-nucleotide ribosomal RNA is filed under the name uncultured bacterium. RNAcentral describes it as "bacterial SSU rRNA". It matches the Rfam family "Bacterial small subunit ribosomal RNA", at positions 54 to 1345 of the family's 1533-position model. The record is from RNAcentral.